UACGGGGGGGGCAAGCGUUGUUCGGAAUUACUGGGCGUAAAGGGCUCGUAGGCGGCCAACUAAGUCAGACGUGAAAUCCCUCGGCUUAACCGGGGAACUGCGUCUGAUACUGGAUGGCUUGAAUCCGGGAGAGGGAUGCGGAAUUCCAGGUGUAGCGGUGAAAUGCGUAGAUAUCUGGAGGAACACCGGUGGCGAAGGCGGUUCUCUGGGAAUGUUCUGACGCUGAGGAGCGAAAGUGUGGGGAGCGAACAGG
Molecule: ribosomal RNA, 253 nt
Filed under: uncultured bacterium
Lineage: Bacteria
Description: partial 16S ribosomal RNA
Rfam family: Bacterial small subunit ribosomal RNA
Source: RNAcentral